Molecule: long non-coding RNA, 444 nt
Filed under: Olea europaea (common olive)
Lineage: Eukaryota; Viridiplantae; Streptophyta; Magnoliopsida; Lamiales; Oleaceae
Description: long non-coding RNA (OEUR_LNC001364)
Source: RNAcentral
UAGAACGGUUGCACCACAAGGUGUGUGGGCCAACAGCAUUUAGAAAAAAGAGACCACAUUACCACAAACCAAUCCAGUAUUUAUCACAUACAACCAACAUACUAAGGAGAAAAUCUUUGGUAAGAUUCGAUUUUACGUGCCUAGGGGUACUUAGGAGAAAAUCUUCGGUGGAGUAGUCGUACCACAGGGUGUGUGUGGGCCAACAACAUUUAGAAAAAAAAGACCACAUUACCACAAACUGAUUCAGUAUUUGUCACAUACAACCAACAUACUAAGGAGAAAAUCUUCGGUAAGACGGUCACACCACAUAAGCUGACGCAGUUCGAUUUUAUGUGCCAAGGGGUACUUAGGAGAAAAUCUUCGGUAGAGCGGUCGCACCACAAGGUGUGUGGGCCAACAACAUUUAGAAAAAAGAGACCACAUUACUACAAACCGAUCCAGUAU